This 502-nucleotide ribosomal RNA is filed under the name uncultured bacterium. Its description in RNAcentral is "partial 16S ribosomal RNA". It matches the Rfam family "Bacterial small subunit ribosomal RNA", at positions 29 to 523 of the family's 1533-position model. The record is from RNAcentral.
AUUGAACGCUGGCGGAAUGCUUUACGCGUGCAAGUCGAACGGCAGCACGGGUGCUUGCACCUGGUGGCGAGUGGCGAACGGGAGAGUAAUACAUCGGAACGUACCCAGUCGUGGGGGAUAACGUAGCGAAAGUUACGCUAAUACCGCAUACGUCCUGAGGGAGAAAGCGGGGGACCGUAAGGCCUCGCGCGAUUGGAGCGGCCGAUGGCGGAUUAGCUAGUUGGUGGGGUAAAGGCCUACCAAGGCGACGAUCCGUAGCGGGUCUGAGAGGACGGCCCGCCACACUGGAACGGAGACACGGUCCAGACUCCUACGGGAGGCAGCAGUGGGGAAUUUUGGACAAUGGGCGAAAGCCUGAUCCAGCCAUUCCGCGUGAGUGAAGAAGGCCUUCGGGUUGUAAAGCUCUUUCGGCAGGGAAGAAACGGCUUGGGAUAAUACCCCGGGCUAAUGACGGUACCUGAAGAAGAAGCACCGGCUAACUACGUGCCAGCCGCCGCAGUAA